Molecule: ribosomal RNA, 253 nt
Filed under: uncultured bacterium
Lineage: Bacteria
Description: partial 16S ribosomal RNA
Rfam family: Bacterial small subunit ribosomal RNA
Source: RNAcentral
UACAGAGGGUGCAAGCGUUGUUCGGAAUUAUUGGGCGUAAAGGGCGCGUAGGCGGUGCGGUAAGUCUGUAGUGAAAUCUCUGGGCUCAACCCAGAGUCUGCUGCAGAAACUGCCGUGCUUGAGUGUGGGAGAGGUGAGUGGAACUCCGAGUGUAGAGGUGAAAUUCGUAGAUAUUCGGAAGAACACCAGUGGCGAAGGCGACUCACUGGCCCAUUACUGACGCUGAGGCGCGAAAGCGUGGGGAGCAAACAGG